Molecule: unclassified non-coding RNA, 282 nt
Filed under: Glomeraceae sp.
Lineage: Eukaryota; Fungi; Glomeromycota; Glomeromycetes; Glomerales; Glomeraceae
Description: partial contains 5.8S ribosomal RNA and internal transcribed spacer 2
Rfam family: 5.8S ribosomal RNA (bases 1-64)
Source: RNAcentral
GUGAUCAUCGAAUCUUUGAACGCAAAUUGCACUCUCCUCGGAGAGUAUGCCUGUUUGAGGGUCAGCCUAUAAAAAAUCGACAUCGUUGCUGUUUCGCGGUGGCGUUCGUCGGAAAUUGGGUUAUCUAAAUCCUUUUGGGUUUUAAGCGACUUAAAAUUUUUUUUUUGGUUCCAUGAACGCUUCUAAGGUUUAUUUCUUUACACGUUUAAGGUAUCGAUUUUUAUUAGACGUGAACAUCAUAUCGGAUCGCGUCCAUAAUUUUUCAUUAACUGGCCUCAGAAA